CCUACGGGUGGCAGCAGUGAGGAAUAUUGGUCAAUGGACGCAAGUCUGAACCAGCCAUGCCGCGUGCAGGAAGACGGCUCUAUGAGUUGUAAACUGCUUUUGUACGAGGGUAAACGCAGAUACGCGUAUCUGUCUGAAAUUAUCGUACGAAUAAGGAUCGGCUAACUCCGUGCCCGCAGCCGCGGUAAUACGGAGGAUUCAAGCGUUAUCCGGAUUUAUUGGGUUUAAAGGGUGCGUAGGCGGUCGGAUAAGUUAGAGGUGAAAUCCCGAGGCUCAAAUUCGGAAUUGCCUCUGAUACUGUUCGGAUAGAGAGUAGUUGCGGUAGGCGGAAUGUAUGGUGUAGCGGUGAAAUGCUUAGAGAUCAUACAGAACACCGAUUGCGAAGGCAGCUUACCAAGCUACUUCUGACGUUGAGGCACGAAAGCGUGGGGAGCAAACAGGAUUAGAUACCCCAGUAGUC
This 460-nucleotide ribosomal RNA is filed under the name uncultured bacterium. RNAcentral describes it as "partial 16S ribosomal RNA". It matches the Rfam family "Bacterial small subunit ribosomal RNA", at positions 338 to 795 of the family's 1533-position model. The record is from RNAcentral.